UACGUAGGUGACCAGCGUUGUCCGGAUUUACUGGGCGUAAAGAGCGCGCAGGCGGUCGUUCAAGUCGGGGGUGAAAGCCCCCGGCUCAACUGGGGAGGGUCACUCGAUACUGAUCGACUUGAAGGCAGGAGAGGGAAGCGGAAUUCCCGGUGUAGUGGUGAAAUGCGUAGAUAUCGGGAGGAACACCAGUGGCGAAGGCGGCUUUCUGGUCUGCUCUUGACGCUGAGGCGCGAAAGCUAGGGUAGCAAACGGG
RNAcentral lists this ribosomal RNA (253 nucleotides) under uncultured bacterium. RNAcentral describes it as "partial 16S ribosomal RNA". It matches the Rfam family "Bacterial small subunit ribosomal RNA", at positions 524 to 776 of the family's 1533-position model. The record is from RNAcentral.